GAUGAACGCUGGCGGCGUGCCUAAUACAUGCCAGUCGAGCGAACAGACGAGGAGCUUGCUCCUCUGACGUUAGCGGCGGACGGGUGAGUAACACGUGGAUAACCUACCUAUAAGACUGGGAUAACUUCGGGAAACCGGAGCUAAUACCGGAUAAUAUAUUGAACCGCAUGGUUCAAUAGUGAAAGACGGUUUUGCUGUCACUUAUAGAUGGAUCCGCGCCGCAUUAGCUAGUUGGUAAGGUAACGGCUUACCAAGGCAACGAUGCGUAGCCGACCUGAGAGGGUGAUCGGCCACACUGGAACUGAGACACGGUCCAGACUCCUACGGGAGGCAGCAGUAGGGAAUCUUCCGCAAUGGGCGAAAGCCUGACGGAGCAACGCCGCGUGAGUGAUGAAGGUCUUCGGAUCGUAAAACUCUGUUAUUAGGGAAGAACAAAUGUGUAAGUAACUAUGCACGUCUUGACGGUACCUAAUCAGAAAGUCACGGCUAACUACGUG
RNAcentral lists this ribosomal RNA (497 nucleotides) under uncultured bacterium. RNAcentral's name for it is "partial 16S ribosomal RNA". It matches the Rfam family "Bacterial small subunit ribosomal RNA", at positions 28 to 507 of the family's 1533-position model. The record is from RNAcentral.